Molecule: transfer RNA, 76 nt
Filed under: Pseudomonas aeruginosa
Lineage: Bacteria; Pseudomonadati; Pseudomonadota; Gammaproteobacteria; Pseudomonadales; Pseudomonadaceae
Also listed under: 5 other names
Description: tRNA-Gly
Rfam family: tRNA
About the family: Transfer RNA (tRNA) molecules are approximately 80 nucleotides in length. Their secondary structure includes four short double-helical elements and three loops (D, anti-codon, and T loops). Further hydrogen bonds mediate the characteristic L-shaped molecular structure. tRNAs have two regions of fundamental functional importance: the anti-codon, which is responsible for specific mRNA codon recognition, and the 3' end, to which the tRNAs corresponding amino acid is attached (by aminoacyl-tRNA synthetases). tRNAs cope with the degeneracy of the genetic code in two manners: having more than one tRNA (with a specific anti-codon) for a particular amino acid; and 'wobble' base-pairing, i.e. permitting non-standard base-pairing at the 3rd anti-codon position.
Source: RNAcentral
GCGGGAAUAGCUCAGGUGGUAGAGCACGACCUUGCCAAGGUCGGGGUCGCGAGUUCGAGUCUCGUUUCCCGCUCCA